Punica granatum (pomegranate) is the source of this 102-nucleotide non-coding RNA. The record is from Rfam. NCBI's taxonomy places the organism in Eukaryota, Viridiplantae, Streptophyta, Magnoliopsida, Myrtales, Lythraceae.
AUGCCCCCUAGAGUUCCUCUGAGCACUUCAUUGGGGAGCAAAUCGAUCUCUUGCCUUCUCUUGAAUCCCCACUGAAGUGUUUGGGGGAACUCCCGGUGCCAU